CGGUGGCGUGGGCCAUGGCGAGCCGUUGCGGCGGGAGCUCGCGCCGGCGGAUUUCGCGUUCGAGUCGCUGGCCGCCGAC
This 79-nucleotide transfer RNA is filed under the name compost metagenome. RNAcentral's name for it is "tRNA-Ser". The record is from RNAcentral.